ACUCCUACGGGAGGCAGCAGUGGGGAAUAUUGCGCAAUGGGGGAAACCCUGACGCAGCAAUACCGCGUGAGUGAAGAAGGUUUUCGGAUCGUAAAGCUCUGUUAUUGGGGAAGAAAAAAAGACGGUACCCAAGAAG
RNAcentral lists this ribosomal RNA (136 nucleotides) under uncultured Bacillota bacterium. RNAcentral's name for it is "uncultured Firmicutes bacterium partial 16S ribosomal RNA". It matches the Rfam family "Bacterial small subunit ribosomal RNA", at positions 335 to 486 of the family's 1533-position model. The record is from RNAcentral. Lineage: Bacteria; Bacillati; Bacillota.